UGAAGAAAAGAGAAGACAGAAAUAGAGACCAGCUGGUGGACAUGUUUUGGAUUUGCAGAGCAUCAGAGCAGCCUGAGGACCUGCCCAUCUCAAAUCCACGUUGGUGAAAUCCCUCAGCCACAUUUUCUGAGCAGAUGAUUACAGAUGCUCUCCUGCUCUUUGUAUUUGAAUCCUCAGCCUGAGUGGACAAGGCAAGCAGGACAGAGGAGCAAAGCACAAGGCAAGCAAAGGACAAGGACUGACUCUCUGGCGAAUUUGCCUAACUUCCAUUUCAUGGUACAUCUGGGCUGGGCAGAUCCCCGAGGAAAACAACAACUUUAGUUGUAGGUACUUGAGAGCAGUCAUUAUCUCUGUUCCAAUUAAUUCAUCAAUCAGUGUUUACCAAGUUGCCACUGAGAACAGGGACCAGCACUGAGUCCUGCUGAGCCGGGGAGGAUGGCGGAGGCUGUGAAGACCGAGGCUGUGCUCUGGAGCAGCCAUAACCAGGAGCCAAGGGACUGAGCUCUCUUUCUGAGUUGGCACUGCCUGACACCAGGCAACUCAGUUAUCCCUUCGAGCCUUACACUGGGAAGCAGGACACCAGCCAGGUCACCAACCUGAGGAACAACAGACACAAUGUGUGUGAACACUCUUUGAAAAACAUUAAGCUUGACAUAAAUGAGAGCAUUCAUCACGACCUGUAAUAGAAAAUAAAG
This is a long non-coding RNA of Myotis brandtii (Brandt's bat), 695 nucleotides long. RefSeq lists it as uncharacterized. Lineage: Eukaryota; Metazoa; Chordata; Mammalia; Chiroptera; Vespertilionidae. The record is from RefSeq and is a predicted model, not a curated record. The transcript has 3 exons.